CCUAACCUAAGAAUCAGAUUCGAAUUUAAUUUGAAUCAGGAGCUAGGGUUUGCAACACGUGCUAGCAUGUUCAUCUUGCAAACAUGAUCUAAUCCAAUUAGACCCUUGAUCAAUUCCUUGUGUGUGACCCAUUGGGUUCCUUAUCUUAGCCAGCAGUAGGUGCAGGUGCAAGUUGACCUAACCUGAUUAGAAUACCUCUAAUCCAAUUUAGGUUCAAUUUAGUGCUAAACCUGACUUAGCAAUCAGAACCUUUCUGAUGCUUUGAUCUAAUCAAACUCUUUGAUCCGAUCAACCCACAAGACAUGAUUGACGUCUAGCAACGUAUCAUGUCUACCCGGAAGAUGAGGAAUGUAUUGGACAAAUCCAAACAUACCCUUCAGUGGCAAGUUACUGUGCAAUUCAAUCCCUCA
Molecule: long non-coding RNA, 410 nt
Filed under: Phoenix dactylifera (date palm)
Lineage: Eukaryota; Viridiplantae; Streptophyta; Magnoliopsida; Arecales; Arecaceae
Description: long non-coding RNA (PDAC_LNC006716)
Source: RNAcentral